UACAGAGGUCUCAAGCGCUGUUCGGAAUCACUGGGCGUAAAGGGUGCGUAGGCGGCGGGGAAAGUCAGAUGUGAAAUCCGGAGGCUCAACCUCCGAAAUGCAUCCGAUACUCCCUCGCUAGAGAUUUGUAGAGGAGUCUGGAAUUCUCGGUGUAGCAGUGAAAUGCGUAGAUAUCGAGAAGAACGCUCGCAGCGAAGGCGAGACUCUGGGCAAAUUCUGACGCUGAUGCACGAAGGCUAGGGGAGCAAACGGG
Molecule: ribosomal RNA, 253 nt
Filed under: uncultured bacterium
Lineage: Bacteria
Description: partial 16S ribosomal RNA
Rfam family: Bacterial small subunit ribosomal RNA
Source: RNAcentral